This 2276-nucleotide long non-coding RNA is filed under the name Homo sapiens (human). RNAcentral describes it as "HSALNT0301391". The record is from RNAcentral. Lineage: Eukaryota; Metazoa; Chordata; Mammalia; Primates; Hominidae.
CCUCUCUCCACGUCCACGGCGCCGAGUCUCGCCACGGUGGCGCAGGCGCCAGGGAGGUUCCCCGGCUUUGCCGCGCGGAGGAAGUCCCGGUUACGCAGAGCGCGCUGGGGCAGGGCUGACCUUCCCCUUUCUCUACUUCACUGGCCUCCUCCAGACGUGGUGGUUGCGCCCUUUCGGCCUCGCUUUCCGUUUUUUGGCUUCAUCCCCUAGAUCUGCAAACAGUUCCUCGUGUUUCUUCCGUUAGCCGGGAAACGCGAACUGCAGCGUUUGGGACCCGGGUUUGCGCGUGUGGAAAGCAAAAGGGGUUACUCUGCUGGAGUUCGACAUUGCAAAUAAAGGGUUGAGUUUGUGCAUCGAUUGUGAACACAACAGGCAGCAGGCUAUAAUGGUGGUCCUGGCUGGAGUAGUUUUCACAGACUUCAGUAAUCUGUGGAGAUGAACGGGCAGUUCUCUGUAGUUUUCACAGAUCACUGCCAGUUCGUUUUGAGGCCUUCAGGAGUGAAGACCUGGCUCAUCAUCACUCUUUGUUGUUUUGUUAAAUUUAUUUACACCCUACUUUAUUCCAGAGGAAAGGAUUUAACGUAGUUUACAUAAAUGUGUACAUCAGGGUAAAUUAAAAAUAAGUACAGAGAAAAAUAGGACAAAAGAAAACCGUGAGUGUGAAAGAUAAGAUUAAGCCAGCAGUUUUGUAUGCAAAAUGCAUGGUGUAAGGUCCUAUUGGUUUGCUGGAGGUAGGCCACACAUAUGACUCUCAGUUUUCUAGCAACCAAGAAAAAGAUCAGUUGCAAUCGGAGUAGGUGUUUUGGCUAAGCUGGAACUAGGACUUGAAUAUAGCAGCUUGUAGAGUUAUACCACUUGCCCAAAUCUCUUCCAUGAGCCUCUUUAAGUGUAACAGAAUGCCUGGGAGCACGUAAAUGCUCCUACUUAGAUGCCUACUUAGCCUCUAAUUUUCAUGGGGCCCAUGAAUCCCAUGAAAAAGAACUUUGAACCCUGUCCACAAUUAGAGUUCAGGUAUACGCAGACAUGUUUAAAGACAAGGGACACCCAAAGGAAAGAUUGCACAGAGAGAAAGUGAGCAUCCGAGAGAAAAUCACCACAAGUGAGGCAGAGGGAGGCCGGUCUCAGCAGAGUUUUGGAGGUCGUGAGAAGAAGAGGUAGGAGAUAGGAGAGUGGUUCCGAGUACUUGCCUGCUGAUGUUACCUUCUCCACCCCCACCAGGUUUUCCAGUGCCUGGAGUCUUGGGCAGGAAUGGGCCACUGUAAGAAAGAGCUUUAUCACUAGGGCCUCAGCCAACUUUUCUGUGGGAUAUCCCUCCAAAAUAAUUAAGAGUUCAGAAUGCUUCAGAUUUUGAAGUGAAACUGGUACAUAUAUUAAGUGUUACUUAAUAACCCGAUAGUUUCUAGGGCAGCUCACCAUAAUCCCAAGUAUUAGCCACCACCCUCACCCCCUUCAGAGUAAAAUGUGUUUCCUGAAGGAAGUUGGGAAAAUGAAGAAAAAAAAUACAAAAAUCACCUAUAAUCUUACCAGUCAUAGAUGGCAGUUUUCCUGUCUUAUUUCUGAAUAAUGGUUGUUAAACAUUUGCCAGCACACCAUAAGGCUUAGGGAGGCAUCUGGGUCAUGCAUGUUAAUAUCCUUGGGUAAUUCCAGAAAUCUCUAUGAAGGGAAACUCCUGUUAUUUAUCUAGACUUCCUGAUUGCAAGGGGUUUGGGCAUCAUGAUUUAGGGGUCUUAAUAAAAUUAUUAUUUUAUUUUUACUAAUAGAUAAUGUCUGUGCCUAUCAGAUAAAGGCAAACCAGUGCUCAGAGGAACCCAACCAUCUCUGAAUUGAGACCAGAGAGCUGUCUCUAUGGAUAGUCCUUAGAGAAGGCAUUUCGGAACACAGUAAACAGCAGCCUGGUGACUCCGAUUACAGGGCCAGUUGCCUUUGUUACAAUAAAAGCAAGUCAUCUACACAGAUUUUUCCUACCAGGAAGAGCAUGUGCUGACCAACAGACAUGAAUUUCAGCCUGGUAGUUACAACAUUCACAGUAUACCCACAUCACUAAGCUGGGAGGCACAUUUUGAGACCCAGAAUCCUGACACCUCCAUGCCUUCAAAAGGAUGAGCAGAUUCAUGUAUGACCAGAAUGUAAACCAGGAUCACAGAGCAGCCGGAGAGGUGGUGACAGAACCAUCGAUGGAACCCUGGGCUCCAGGUUCUGACUCCUAUUUUCACUCACUAAUUUUUUUUUUUUGAGAUGGAGUCUUGCUCUGUCGCCAGGCUGGAGUAGAGUGGCAC